This 527-nucleotide ribosomal RNA is filed under the name Cronobacter sakazakii. RNAcentral's name for it is "bacterial SSU rRNA". It matches the Rfam family "Bacterial small subunit ribosomal RNA", at positions 1 to 522 of the family's 1533-position model. Lineage: Bacteria; Pseudomonadati; Pseudomonadota; Gammaproteobacteria; Enterobacterales; Enterobacteriaceae. The record is from RNAcentral.
UGGAGAGUUUGAUCCUGGCUCAGAUUGAACGCUGGCGGCAGGCCUAACACAUGCAAGUCGAGCGGUAGCAGGGAGCAGCUUGCUCUCGGGUGACGAGCGGCGGACGGGUGAGUAAUGUCUGGGAAACUGCCUGAUGGAGGGGGAUAACUACUGGAAACGGUAGCUAAUACCGCAUAACGUCGCAAGACCAAAGUGGGGGACCUUCGGGCCUCAUGCCAUCAGAUGUGCCCAGAUGGGAUUAGCUAGUAGGUGGGGUAACGGCUCACCUAGGCGACGAUCCCUAGCUGGUCUGAGAGGAUGACCAGCCACACUGGAACUGAGACACGGUCCAGACUCCUACGGGAGGCAGCAGUGGGGAAUAUUGCACAAUGGGCGCAAGCCUGAUGCAGCCAUGCCGCGUGUAUGAAGAAGGCCUUCGGGUUGUAAAGUACUUUCAGCGAGGAGGAAGGCGUUAAGGUUAAUAACCUUAGCGAUUGACGUUACUCGCAGAAGAAGCACCGGCUAACUCCGUGCCAGCAGCCGCGGUA